CAGUAGCCGCGGGAAUACAGAGGGUGCAAGCGUUAAUCGGAAUUACUGGGCGUAAAGCGCGCGUAGGUGGUUUGUUAAGUUGGAUGUGAAAUCCCCGGGCUCAACCUGGGAACUGCAUCCAAAACUUGCAAGCUAGAGUAUUGUAGAGGGUGGUGGAAUUUCCUGUGUAGCGGUGAAAUGCGUAGAUAUAGGAAUGAACACCAGUGGCGAAGGCGACCACCUGGACUGAUACUGACACUGAGGUGCGAAAGCGUGGGGAGCAAACAGGAUUAGAUACCCGCGUAGUCCCUGUCUCUUAUAC
Molecule: ribosomal RNA, 301 nt
Filed under: uncultured bacterium
Lineage: Bacteria
Description: partial 16S ribosomal RNA
Rfam family: Bacterial small subunit ribosomal RNA
Source: RNAcentral